Molecule: unclassified non-coding RNA, 148 nt
Organism: Macaca fascicularis (crab-eating macaque)
Lineage: Eukaryota; Metazoa; Chordata; Mammalia; Primates; Cercopithecidae
Rfam family: Metazoan signal recognition particle RNA
About the family: The signal recognition particle (SRP) is a universally conserved ribonucleoprotein.
Source: Ensembl
GCCGGGCGUAGUGGUGUGCGCCUGUAAUCCCAGCUUCUCGGGAGGCUGAGGCAGGAGAAUUGCUGGAACCCGGGAUGCAGGGGUUGCAGUGAGCCAAGAUGGUGCCGCUGCACUCCAGCCUGGGCAAUAGAGCAAGACUCUGUCUCAA